AACACGGUUUUUUUCAAAACUAUUUUCUGUUACUUAUAUUAUUUAU
Molecule: non-coding RNA, 46 nt
Filed under: Helianthus annuus (common sunflower)
Lineage: Eukaryota; Viridiplantae; Streptophyta; Magnoliopsida; Asterales; Asteraceae
Description: Histone 3' UTR stem-loop
Rfam family: Histone 3' UTR stem-loop
About the family: The mRNAs of metazoan histone genes lack a poly-A tail. 3' end processing occurs at a site between a highly conserved stem-loop (modelled by this family) and a purine rich region around 20 nts downstream (the histone downstream element, or HDE). The stem-loop is bound by a 31 kDa stem-loop binding protein (SLBP - also termed the histone hairpin binding protein, or HBP).
Source: RNAcentral